Molecule: ribosomal RNA, 406 nt
Filed under: uncultured bacterium
Lineage: Bacteria
Description: partial 16S ribosomal RNA
Rfam family: Bacterial small subunit ribosomal RNA
Source: RNAcentral
AUUGAACGCUGGCGGCAGGCCUAACACAUGCAAGUCGAACGAGUGGCGGACGGGUGCGUAAUGGCUGGGAAACUGCACGAUGGAGGGGGAUAACUACUGGAACCGGUAGCUAAUAGCGCAUACCAUCGGAUGUGCCCAGUGGGGUUGAGCUAGGAGGUGGGGUAAUGGAGCACCUAGGCUGCGAUCCCUAGCUGGUUUGAGAGGAUGGCCGGCCCUACUGGACCGGAGGCACGGUCCAGACUCCUACGGGAGGCAGCAGUGGGGAAUAUUGCACAAGGGGCGCAAGCCUGAUGCAGCCAUGCCGCGUGUAUGAAGAAGGCUUUCGGGUUGUAAAGUACUUUCAGCGAGGAGGCGUUACUUGCAGAAGAAGCGACGGCUAACUCCGUGCCAGCAGCCGCGGUAAUUC